This 254-nucleotide ribosomal RNA is filed under the name uncultured bacterium. RNAcentral's name for it is "partial 16S ribosomal RNA". It matches the Rfam family "Bacterial small subunit ribosomal RNA", at positions 524 to 776 of the family's 1533-position model. The record is from RNAcentral.
UACGGGGGGGGCAAGCGUUGUUCGGAAUUACUGGGCGUAAAGGGCUCGUAGGCGGCCAACUAAGUCCGACGUGAAAUCCCCGGGCUUAACCUGGGAACUGCAUUGGUGACUGGCAGGCUUUGAGUGUGGCAGAGGGAGGUAGAAUUCCACGUGUAGCAGUGAAAUGCGUAGAGAUGUGGAGGAAUACCGAUGGCGAAGGCAGCCUCCUGGGCCAACACUGACGCUCAUGCACGAAAGCGUGGGGAGCAAACAGG